Molecule: non-coding RNA, 100 nt
Organism: Phthorimaea operculella (potato tuberworm)
Lineage: Eukaryota; Metazoa; Arthropoda; Insecta; Lepidoptera; Gelechiidae
Source: the annotation of a GenBank genome assembly
GACUCGUUAGCUCAGUUGGUCAGAGCGCCGAUACAAGAGAAAAUAAAUGAAACCUUACCUAAUACAUCGGAGGUCGGAGGUUCGAAUCCUUCACGAGUCA